Molecule: ribosomal RNA, 697 nt
Filed under: uncultured bacterium
Lineage: Bacteria
Description: bacterial SSU rRNA
Rfam family: Bacterial small subunit ribosomal RNA
Source: RNAcentral
AGAGUUUGAUCAUGGCUCAGAUUGAACGCUGGCGGCAUGCCUCAUACAUGCAAGUCGGACGGUAACAUACACUUCGGUGUGAUGACGAGUGGCGGACGGGUGGGUAAUGCAUAAGAAUCUGCCUAUUAGUGGGGGACAACGUGUGGAAACGCACGCUAAUACCGCAUACAUCCUACGGGGAAAAGGUUGCCUCUUCAUGAACGCAAUCGCUAGUAGAUGAGCUUAUGUCAGAUUAGCUAGUUGGUAGGGUAAGAGCUUACCAAGGCAACGAUCUGUAGCCGGCCUGAGAGGGUGAACGGCCACACUGGGACUGAGACACGGCCCAGACUCCUACGGGAGGCAGCAGUAGGGAAUAUUGGACAAUGGGGGCAACCCUGAUCCAGCAAUGCCGCGUGUGUGAAGAAGGCCUGCGGGUUGUAAAGCACUUUCAGUAGGGAGGAAAUGCUUAAAGUUAAUAGCUUUAAGAGUUGACGUUACCUACAGAAGAAGCACCGGCUAACUCUGUGCCAGCAGCCGCGGUAAUACAGAGGGUGCGAGCGUUAAUCGGAAUUACUGGGCGUAAAGGGUACGUAGGCGGCUCCUUAAGUCUGAUGUGAAAUCCCCGUGCUUAACAUGGGAAUUGCAUCGGAUACUGGGUAGCUAGAGUAUAGUAGAGGAGAGUGGAAUUUCUAGUGUAGCGGUGAAAUGCGUAGAUAUU